This 95-nucleotide transfer RNA is filed under the name Desulfobacteraceae bacterium CG2_30_51_40. RNAcentral describes it as "tRNA-Ser". It matches the Rfam family "tRNA". From Rfam's summary of the family: Transfer RNA (tRNA) molecules are approximately 80 nucleotides in length. Their secondary structure includes four short double-helical elements and three loops (D, anti-codon, and T loops). Further hydrogen bonds mediate the characteristic L-shaped molecular structure. tRNAs have two regions of fundamental functional importance: the anti-codon, which is responsible for specific mRNA codon recognition, and the 3' end, to which the tRNAs corresponding amino acid is attached (by aminoacyl-tRNA synthetases). tRNAs cope with the degeneracy of the genetic code in two manners: having more than one tRNA (with a specific anti-codon) for a particular amino acid; and 'wobble' base-pairing, i.e. permitting non-standard base-pairing at the 3rd anti-codon position. RNAcentral also lists the same sequence under 4 other names. The record is from RNAcentral. Lineage: Bacteria; Pseudomonadati; Thermodesulfobacteriota; Desulfobacteria; Desulfobacterales; Desulfobacteraceae.
GGAGAGAUGUCCGAGUUGGCCGAAGGAGCGCGACUGGAAAUCGCGUGUGCUACUCAAAAGUGGCACCGAGGGUUCGAAUCCCUCUCUCUCCGCCA